Molecule: ribosomal RNA, 121 nt
Filed under: uncultured Cupriavidus sp.
Lineage: Bacteria; Pseudomonadati; Pseudomonadota; Betaproteobacteria; Burkholderiales; Burkholderiaceae
Description: partial 16S ribosomal RNA
Rfam family: Bacterial small subunit ribosomal RNA
Source: RNAcentral
AGAGUUUGAUCCUGGCUCAGAUUGAACGCUGGCGGCAUGCCUUACACGUGCAAGUCGAACGGCAGCGCGGGCUUCGGCCUGGCGGCGAGUGGCGAACGGGUGAGUAAUACAUCGGAACGUG